Molecule: long non-coding RNA, 1405 nt
Organism: Gadus macrocephalus (Pacific cod)
Lineage: Eukaryota; Metazoa; Chordata; Actinopteri; Gadiformes; Gadidae
Exons: 2
Source: RefSeq, a predicted model, not a curated record
CGGUCUACAAGCCUACCCAGUGGACCGUAGCAAACGUUGCUCAUCUAUCCAGCACACAUCUAGGUGGACACCUAGAUGUGUCCACCAAAUGUAUGAGGCUUUAAAAAAAUCCUGGACGAUUUUGAAAUUCCGCAAAACAUUUUUUAAAAGUGUCUCAAAAAGAGGGCAUGUCCGGGCAAAAGAGGACGUCUGGUUACCCUACGUACGGGAAACAGAUUUGAUUCCUACCUGUAACACUUUAAGGAAGUUCUCUCCAGUCACGCUGAAAGUAGUUCACUAGUAGUAGCGCUUUAAUUUGCAGCGUCAGAGAAUCCUGAGAAAUCUGAAUGCUGACUAAAUUCUCAGAAUUCGGACACUGCAAACUAUUGCACGCUAGUGAACCACUUUAAAAAAAACUUGACAUCGCGACCAGGCGACAAAUGACUGGUGAGAACCUUCUUAAAUGAACCUUUAAUGCUGCAUUUAAAUAUCAGAAUUCAGAUUUUAUCCAAGUAUUCUGACUUUAUUAUCAGAAUGCUGAAUUUGAUCUCAAAAUUCAGACUUUAUUAGCCUAUUCGAUUUCUGAAUUAAAAUUCUUGUGAUGAAUAAUCUACAUUUAUACAGUCGAUGUGCAGCACUUCAAUUCCCGUCAACUUUUUUUUUCUAACACCAGCACUUCCACAACUAUGCCCAUGUUCCUGACUGCUAUAUACAAAACCAUUUAUAGCGCAUCUAUUUUUCGGCUGGGUAGUGAUAGUCGCCCUAAAUGCAGCUUUAAUGUGGGCUCUGAUUCUGAAUGAAUGCCGCUGCUGAACUGUGUGAAUCAAUAAAGGGAACUGAAAUCUAAAGAAGAAACGUGGUUUUUAUGUCCAGCUGAAAGUGGAACAUUGCUGCCAUCAUGGGAAAUUAAUGUAGCCUAGGCCUAUUUUAAGUAGCUUUCAAUUCCUUGUUCUUUUGUUGAACAUAUCCCCCACUAGAUUCCCCCACACAGAUUUUGUACUGUAGAAACCUAUAUGGUGGAAACCGAUACGCCCUCUCAACCACAAAAUAUUUGAGUCACUUCUAUGGAAGUAAAUCUGUGCCAUCGGAUUUUGAAAAUAAAAAGCCAUUGAACUCUAAGCGAUGAAUAUUUAUGCAUUGAAAUAACGUAUCUGGAUUUGAAUUGAACUCCUAUUCAGCUUUAUUUUUCAAUGUUAAAAAUUCAAAAUCAAAUAUUCAACGCUAAAAAAUUCAACGUGGGGACAUUGAUUUCGUUGAAAUUCAAAUCCAGAUACGUUAUUUCAAUGCAUAAACAUUCAGUGGUUAGAAUUCAAUGGCUUUUUAUUUUCAAAAUCCGAUGGCACAGAUUUACUUCCAUACACUUCUCCUUCGUCAUGCUUAACUGAUCAUACCUCUCUCUCGUUGGUUACAAAAAUCUUACCAUGGA